This 503-nucleotide ribosomal RNA is filed under the name uncultured bacterium. Its description in RNAcentral is "bacterial SSU rRNA". It matches the Rfam family "Bacterial small subunit ribosomal RNA", at positions 26 to 518 of the family's 1533-position model. The record is from RNAcentral.
AGGAUAAACGCUGGCGGCGUGCUAACACAUGCAAGUCGAACGGAGUACUUCUCCCGAGACCGAGGAAGCUUGCUUCCAAAGAAUCAUUGAAGUACUUAGUGGCGGACGGGUGAGUAACGCGUGGGUAACCUGCCUCACACAGGGGGAUAACAGUUGGAAACGACUGUUAAUACCGCAUAAGCGCACAGUAUCGCAUGGUACAGUGUGAAAAACUCCGGUGGUGUGAGAUGGACCCGCGUCUGAUUAGCUAGUUGGUGAGGUAACGGCCCACCAAGGCGACGAUCAGUAGCCGGCCUGAGAGGGUGUACGGCCACAUUGGGACUGAGACACGGCCCAAACUCCUACGGGAGGCAGCAGUGGGGAAUAUUGCACAAUGGGGGAAACCCUGAUGCAGCGACGCCGCGUGAGUGAUGAAGUAUCUCGGUAUGUAAAGCUCUAUCAGCAGGGAAGAUAAUGACGGUACCUGACUAAGAAGCACCGGCUAAAUACGUGCCAGCAGCAGC